RNAcentral lists this ribosomal RNA (378 nucleotides) under uncultured bacterium. Its description in RNAcentral is "bacterial SSU rRNA". It matches the Rfam family "Bacterial small subunit ribosomal RNA", at positions 29 to 432 of the family's 1533-position model. The record is from RNAcentral.
AACGAACGCUGGCGGCAGGCCUAACACAUGCAAGUCGAACGCUCGUAGCAAUACGAGAGUGGCAGACGGGUGAGUAACACGUGGGAACCUUCCCUAUGGUUCGGAAUAGCUCAGGGAAACUUGAGGUAAUACCGGAUAAGCCCUUACGGGGAAAGAUUUAUCGCCGGAGGAUUGGCCCGCGUCUGAUUAGCUUGUUGGUGAGGUAAUGGCUCACCAAGGCGACGAUCAGUAGCUGGUCUGAGAGGAUGAUCAGCCACAUUGGGACUGAGACACGGCCCAAACUCCUACGGGAGGCAGCAGUGGGGAAUAUUGGACAAUGGGCGAAAGCCUGAUCCAGCCACGCCGCGUGAGUGAUGAAGGCCUUAGGGUUGUAAAGCU